UACGUAGGGUGCGAGCGUUAAUCGGAAUUACUGGGCGUAAAGCGUGAGCAGGCGGUCUGUUAAGACAGAUGUGAAAUCCCCGGGCUCAACCCGGGAACUGCGUCCGAUACUGGGAGGCUUGAAUCCGGGAGAGGGAUGUGGAAUUCCAGGUGUAGCGGUGAAAUGCGUAGAUAUCUGGAGGAACACCGGUGGCGAAGGCGGCAUCCUGGACCGGUAUUGACGCUGAGGCGCGAAAGCCAGGGGAGCAAACGGG
This 253-nucleotide ribosomal RNA is filed under the name uncultured bacterium. Its description in RNAcentral is "partial 16S ribosomal RNA". It matches the Rfam family "Bacterial small subunit ribosomal RNA", at positions 524 to 776 of the family's 1533-position model. The record is from RNAcentral.